GUAGGUGGCAAGCGUUGUCCGGAAUUAUUGGGCGUAAAGCGCGCGCAGGCGGUUCUUUAAGUCUGAUGUGAAAGCCCACGGGCUCAACCGUGGAGGGUCAUUGGAAACUGGAGAACUUGAGUACAGAAGAGGAAAGCGGAAUUCCACGUGUAGCGGUGAAAUGCGUAGAGAUGUGGAGGAACACCAGUGGCGAAGGCGGCUUUCUGGUCUGUAACUGACGCUGAGGCGCGAAAGCGUGGGGAGCAAACUGGAUUAGAUACCCUGGUAGUCCACGCCGUAAACGAUGAGUGCUAAGUGUUAGGGGGUUUCCGCCCCUUAGUGCUGCAGCUAACGCAUUAAGCACUCCGCCUGGGGAGUACGGCCGCAAGGCUG
Molecule: ribosomal RNA, 372 nt
Filed under: uncultured organism
Description: partial 16S ribosomal RNA
Rfam family: Bacterial small subunit ribosomal RNA
Source: RNAcentral